Molecule: non-coding RNA, 615 nt
Organism: Schizosaccharomyces pombe (fission yeast)
Lineage: Eukaryota; Fungi; Ascomycota; Schizosaccharomycetes; Schizosaccharomycetales; Schizosaccharomycetaceae
Source: the annotation of a GenBank genome assembly
UCAUUAUAUUCCUUGUCCAACAUGUUUACCUGGUAAAACACACCGCUAGUUGACACUAUCUAUACUGACUGAUGCUGUUGGAUGGUGAUUUCUAGUUUAGUUUUUCUAAUUACAACAAUAUAUUUUCCUUAGUGGAAAUGCUUUGAGUAACUUCUUUUCAUUUUCAUAUAUUCAGACUAAAUAGGUAAGCUCGUCUUUUGCAUGCAGGAAACUGAAACGACAAAUGUUGGAUUGCAAGGAUGCUUAAUCAUCUGAUUUAAUGAGCCUGAUGGUCUUGACAACCAAAAUGCUGUCAACUUUGAUUACUGAGCAAUUUACAAACGAAUGUCAAAACUCUUUUUUUGUCUUUUUCCUGGUUCAGACAAUUAGUUUUUCUUAACUCCUUUUACUAAUUCUUUUUUUUACUAGUCAAGCUUCUUUUUUUUUUAUAGUUUAUUUAAAACCCCAACGUUGCUACUCUGGUAUUGCCGUGGGUUGAAUAAAAUUGUCCGUCUCAUGAAACGCUAAGACAAGCCAUGUUUUUUAUAGUCAUUAUGAAUUAAUAAUAAUAAAAAGAAAUAUAAAAAGAUGAAAACAUUUUAAAACGAUAUAUGUUUUUCCCUUGGCGUAGACACG